Lontra canadensis (Northern American river otter) is the source of this 1635-nucleotide RNA transcript. It is a transcript of the gene named NADH:ubiquinone oxidoreductase complex assembly factor 7, with no coding region annotated. Lineage: Eukaryota; Metazoa; Chordata; Mammalia; Carnivora; Mustelidae. The transcript has 12 exons. The record is from RefSeq and is a predicted model, not a curated record.
ACCCCGCCCCGCCCCCGGGCAGCGUCGUGCGAGGUGCGGCAUGAGCCUUCUUGCUAGGAGCGGCGGCCUGGGGCCGCUGUGUGCGGCUGCUCGCGCGGUUCUUCCCUGUCUCUGGAGGGGGAAAUACUUCAGCUCCGGGAGAGAGCCGGCGGAAAACCAGGUGACACCAAUGCUGCGGCACCUUAUAUACAAAAUCAAGGCAACUGGUCCCAUCACUGUAGCCGAGUACAUGAAGGAGGUCUUGACCAACCCUGCCAAGGGAUAUUAUGUGUACCAUGACAUGCUAGGAGAAAAAGGAGAUUUCAUAACUUCACCGGAAAUAAGUCAGAUCUUUGGGGAGCUGCUAGGUAUAUGGUUCAUUAGUGAAUGGAUGGCCACUGGAAAAAAUGCAGCUUUCCAGCUUGUGGAAUUGGGCCCAGGAAGGGGUACCCUCACAGGAGAUAUUUUGAGGGUGUUCAGUCAGCUUGGAUCUGUGCUGAAAAACUGUGACAUUUCAAUACAUCUGGUAGAGGUGAGCGAAAAAUUGAGUGAGAUUCAAGCUUUAACACUGACGGAAGAGAAGAUCCCGCUAGAGCGGAGUGCUGGGUCCCCCGUACGUAUGAGAGGCGUUACUAAAGCUGGGAUUCCAAUCUUGUGGUACCGAGAUCUGCAGGAUGUUCCAAAAGGGUACAGCUUUUAUCUGGCACAUGAAUUUUUUGACGUUCUUCCUGUGCAUAAGUUUCAGAAAACACCCCAGGGGUGGCGAGAAGUACUCAUUGAUAUCGACCCACAAGUUUCUGAUAAGCUGCGGUUUGUUUUGGCGCCUGGUGUCACGCCAGCAGAAGUCUUCAUACAACGUGAUGAAAUGAGGGAUCACGUGGAAGUGUGUCCUGAGGCCGGUGUUAUCAUUCAGGAGCUUUCUCAGCGCAUCGCACUAACCGGAGGUGCAGCACUGAUCGCCGAUUAUGGUCAUGAGGGAACCAAGACAGACACCUUCAGGGGGUUUUGUGGCCACAAGCUUCAUGAUGUCCUGACUGCCCCUGGAACGGCGGACCUCACAGCCGAUGUGGACUUCAGUUAUCUGCGCAGAAUGGCAGGGGGACAAGUAGCUUCUCUCGGGCCAAUAAAACAACAGAUGUUUUUAAAAAAUAUGGGCAUUGAUGUCCGGCUGAAGGUUCUUUUAGACAAAUCAGAUGAGCCAGCCAGACAGCAGUUACUUCAGGGGUAUGAUAUGUUAAUGAAUCCUCAGAAGAUGGGAGAAAGAUUUAAUUUUUUUGCCUUGCUGCCUCAUCAGAGACUUCAUGGGAGAAGCCAUCCGAUGGAUGCGUGCCAGUCAAAGCCCUCUGUGUCACCCGUAGCUGGGUUUGGUGAACUUACCUGGCGGUGAUCUCAGUGUGGUCAUUUUACCCCUAAGUCUGCCUAAGAAAGCAAAAUAAAGGGAAUGUGUUUCAUAUAUCACAGGUCAUGGUCUCGGGGGUUGUGGGAUCUCCAGUCCCACGUCAGGCUCCAUACGCAGCGUGGAGUUUGCUUGGGAGUCUCCCUCUCCCUCUCUCAAAAUAAAUGACAACCUACAAACAACAGUUGUGCAGUAAAACAUCAGUACAUAAAAUGAAAUCCUUCCUUAUUGAAGUUAGCUCUUUGAUAAUUAAGGAUCUU